AGUGAACGCUGGCGGUAGGCCUAACACAUGCAAGUCGAACGGCAGCACAGUAAGAGCUUGCUCUUACGGGUGGCGAGUGACGGACGGGUGAGGAAUACAUCGGAAUCUACUUUUUCGUGGGGGAUAACGUAGGGAAACUUACGCUAAUACCGCAUACGACCUACGGGUGAAAGCAGGGGAUCUUCGGACCUUGCGCGAUUGAAUGAGCCGAUGUCGGAUUAGCUAGUUGGCGGGGUAAAGGCCCACCAAGGCGACGAUCCGUAGCUGGUCUGAGAGGAUGAUCAGCCACACUGGAACUGAGACACGGUCCAGACUCCUACGGGAGGCGGCAGUGGGGAAUAUUGGACAAUGGGCGCAAGCCUGAUCCAGCCAUACCGCGUGGGUGAAGAAGGCCUUCGGGUUGUAAAGCCCUUUUGUUGGGAAAGAAAAGCAGCAGGUUAAUACCCCGCUGUUCUGACGGUACCCAAAGAAUAAGCACCGGCUAACUUCGUG
Molecule: ribosomal RNA, 492 nt
Filed under: uncultured bacterium
Lineage: Bacteria
Description: partial 16S ribosomal RNA
Rfam family: Bacterial small subunit ribosomal RNA
Source: RNAcentral